This is a transfer RNA of Planctomyces sp. SH-PL14, 73 nucleotides long. It matches the Rfam family "tRNA". Rfam says of the family: Transfer RNA (tRNA) molecules are approximately 80 nucleotides in length. Their secondary structure includes four short double-helical elements and three loops (D, anti-codon, and T loops). Further hydrogen bonds mediate the characteristic L-shaped molecular structure. tRNAs have two regions of fundamental functional importance: the anti-codon, which is responsible for specific mRNA codon recognition, and the 3' end, to which the tRNAs corresponding amino acid is attached (by aminoacyl-tRNA synthetases). tRNAs cope with the degeneracy of the genetic code in two manners: having more than one tRNA (with a specific anti-codon) for a particular amino acid; and 'wobble' base-pairing, i.e. permitting non-standard base-pairing at the 3rd anti-codon position. Lineage: Bacteria; Pseudomonadati; Planctomycetota; Planctomycetia; Planctomycetales; Planctomycetaceae. The record is from Rfam.
GGCCCGUUCGACUUCUGGUGAGGUUGCCAGCCUUUCACGCUGGCCAGGUUGGGUUCGAAUCCCACACGGGUCA